This 301-nucleotide ribosomal RNA is filed under the name uncultured bacterium. RNAcentral describes it as "partial 16S ribosomal RNA". It matches the Rfam family "Bacterial small subunit ribosomal RNA", at positions 509 to 807 of the family's 1533-position model. The record is from RNAcentral.
CAGCAGCCGCGGUAAUACAGAGGGUGCGAGCGUUAAUCGGAUUUACUGGGCGUAAAGCGUGCGUAGGCGGCUUCUUAAGUCGGAUGUGAAAUCCCUGAGCUUAACUUAGGAAUUGCAUUCGAUACUGGGAAGCUAGAGUAUGGGAGAGGAUGGUAGAAUUCCAGGUGUAGCGGUGAAAUGCGUAGAGAUCUGGAGGAAUACCGAUGGCGAAGGCAGCCAUCUGGCCUAAUACUGACGCUGAGGUACGAAAGCAUGGGGAGCAAACAGGAUUAGAUACCCCAGUAGUCUCUGUCUCUUAUAC